This is a long non-coding RNA of Salvia hispanica, 887 nucleotides long. RefSeq lists it as uncharacterized. Lineage: Eukaryota; Viridiplantae; Streptophyta; Magnoliopsida; Lamiales; Lamiaceae. The record is from RefSeq and is a predicted model, not a curated record.
GUGGCCAUGGCUCCCAGGAUGCUCAGAUGGAUGAGAGACAUUCCUAUGAGAACAGGAUGAUGUACAUUCCUCUGCCUCAAAGACCCCUUGGUCAUGAUUCCAUAACCCUUGGGCCACAAGGUGGCCUUGUCCGAGGAAUGGCAUUCGGUAGUCAGCCAUCUACAUAUGCCUCUCGUAUGGCUGAGAUAUCAAGUCCUGGAGAUGAACACAGGGUGGGACCUGGUCUAAAUGGAUUCAGUUCUAUUCCAGAACCGGCAGCUUAUGGCCAAAGAGAGGAUCCCAUGCCAAGAUAUGUGUCAGAAAGUUUUGGUGCUCCAUCCAGCUAUGACCGAUUGGUGAAAGGAAUGUUACACAUGGGAAUAGAAACACCGACCGCAUUGAUGAAUCUCUGCCUGCUUCUCCACCUGCUCGUGGUUCCGCUCCUCCAACUAGCACAGAAAAUAUGUGGCCUGAAGAGCACUUGCAGGACAAAUCAAUGACCACUAUUAAAGACUUCUACUGGUUUUUAUGUGCCCCAGGUGUUAAAAGCCAUGAGGAGAAACAAGGAUAAAUGAUUUUCUGAUGUCUUAUACCUGGCUGCGAACAAUAAUAGAGACAUUGAGGAGGUCUCAGCUUCUAAUGUUUUCCCGAAGAAGGUUGAGGAGCGUUCUAUUCCGAUUGAAGAACUACUUGAGGCAGACGAAGUUUUCUGCACUGGGACCGCAGUUAGUGUUGCUCCUGUAGGAAGCAUUACAUACAAGGGUAACAGGUGAGUUUGAAAUCCAAAGGCUGCAGUGCGUUUCGAUCUUUUUGUAACUGACACUGUCCUGUUUCUUUGAACCCGAUAAGCUUUCGAGUACCUGGAUACCUGAGUCGGGUAUCAGGCCCCGAAAAAUCCGGUACCCAAA